This 280-nucleotide ribosomal RNA is filed under the name uncultured bacterium. Its description in RNAcentral is "partial 16S ribosomal RNA". It matches the Rfam family "Bacterial small subunit ribosomal RNA", at positions 335 to 601 of the family's 1533-position model. The record is from RNAcentral.
ACUCCUACGGGAGGCAGCAGUGGGGAAUAUUGCACAAUGGGCGCAAGCCUGAUGCAGCCAUGCCGCGUGUAUGAAGAAGGCCUUCGGGUUGUAAAGUACUUUCAGCAGUGAGGAAGGCGGGUGACGUUAAUAAGCGUGCUCGUUUGACGUUAGCUGCAGAAGAAGCACCGGCUAAACUCCGUGCCAGCAGCCGCGGUAAUACGGAGGGUGCGAGCGUUAAUCGGAAUUACUGGGCGUAAAAGCGCAAUGCAGGUGGUUUGUUAAAGUCAGAUGUGAAAAG